RNAcentral lists this ribosomal RNA (253 nucleotides) under uncultured bacterium. RNAcentral describes it as "partial 16S ribosomal RNA". It matches the Rfam family "Bacterial small subunit ribosomal RNA", at positions 524 to 776 of the family's 1533-position model. The record is from RNAcentral.
UACGUAGGGGGCAAGCGUUGUCCGGAUUUAUUGGGCGUAAAGAGCGUGUAGGCGGUUUGGUAGGUCCGUUGUGAAAACUCGAGGCUCAACCUCGAGACGCCGAUGGAAACCAUCAGACUAGAGUCCGGAAGAGGAGAGUGGAAUUCCUGGUGUAGCGGUGAAAUGCGCAGAUAUCAGGAAGAACACCCGUGGCUAAGGCGGCUCUCUAGGACGGUACUGACGCUGAGGCGCGAAAGCGUGGGGAGCGAACAGG